GAUGAAGAACGCAGCGAAAUGCGAUACGUAAUGUGAAUUGCAGAAUUCAGUGAAUCAUCGAAUCUUUGAACGCAUAUUGCGCUCUUUGGUAUUCCGAAGAGCAUGCUUGUUUGAGUAUCAGUAAACACCUCAAAGCUUUUGGAUUUUUUAAUCGAAAAGCUUUGGACUUGAGCAAUCCCAACACCAAUCUUUUUGAGAUCGGUGGCGGGUUGCUUGAAAUGCAGGUGCAGCUGGACAUUCUCCUGAGCUAAAUGCAUAUUCAUUUAGUCCCGUCAAACGGAUUAUUACUUUUGCUGCAGCUAACAUAAAGGGAGUUUGACCGUAUUGGCUGACUGAUGCAGGAUUUCACAAGGGUCGGCAACGAUUCUUGUUAAACUCGAUCUCAAAUCAAGUAAGACUACCCGCUGAACUUAAGCAUAUCAAUAAGCGGAGGA
This 434-nucleotide unclassified non-coding RNA is filed under the name soil metagenome. Its description in RNAcentral is "partial contains 5.8S ribosomal RNA, internal transcribed spacer 2, and large subunit ribosomal RNA". The stretch from base 1 to 120 matches the Rfam family "5.8S ribosomal RNA", at positions 35 to 154 of the family's 154-position model. The record is from RNAcentral.